This 1541-nucleotide ribosomal RNA is filed under the name metagenome. RNAcentral's name for it is "bacterial SSU rRNA". It matches the Rfam family "Bacterial small subunit ribosomal RNA". The record is from RNAcentral.
AGAGUUUGAUUCUGGCUCAGAACGAACGCUGGCAGCGUGGAUUAGGCAUGCAAGUCGAACGAUAUCCAGGAUAUCCAAGUAGCAAAAUGAGGAUAUACUGGUGACAGUGGCGGAAGGGUGAGGAACACGUGGGCAAUCUGCCUUUAAGUUGGGGACAACCCCGCGAAAGUGGGGCUAAUACCGGAUGUGAAGUCCCGAUGAUUUCGGGAUUUUUGAAGACGGGGAUCCUUCGGGACCUGUCGCUUGAAGAGGAGCCCGCGUCCUAUCAGCUUGUUGGUGAGGUAACGGCUCACCAAGGCGAUGACGGGUAGCUGGUCUGAGAGGAUGGUCAGCCACACUGGGACUGAGACACUGCCCAGACUCCUACGGGAGGCUGCAGUCGAGGAUCAUUCGCAAUGCGCGAAAGCGUGACGAUGCGACGCUGCGUGGAGGAUGAAGGCCUUCGGGUCGUAAACUCCUGUCAUUCGGGAACAAUGAUUCCGCCGUUAAUGACGGCGGGAAGUGAUAGUACCGGAAGAGGAAGCCACGGCCAACUCUGUGCCAGCAGCCGCGGUAAUACAGAGGCGGCGAGCGUUGUUCGGAAUUACUGGGCGUAAAGGGUGCGUAGGUGGUCUCGUAUGUCGGAUGUGAAAUCCCACUGCUCAACGGUGGAACUGCAUUCGAAACUGCGAGACUGGAGUGCAGGAGAGGAGAGCGGAAUUCUUGGUGUAGCGGUGGAAUGCGUUGAUAUCAAGAAGAACACCGGUGGCGUAGGCGGCUCUCUGGAAUGCAACUGACACUGAGGCACGAAAGCGUGGGGAGCAAACAGGAUUAGAUACCCUGGUAGUCCACGCCCUAAACGGUGUACACUUGGUGUGGGGAGAUUUGACCCUCUCCGUGCCGGAGCUAACGCGUUAAGUGUACCGCCUGGGAAGUACGGUCGCAAGAUUAAAACUCAAAGAAAUUGACGGGGGCCCGCACAAGCGGAGGAGCAUGUGGCUUAAUUCGAUGCAACGCGAAGAACCUUACCAGGGUUUGACAUGCAGCUGCACGUCCUAUGAAAGUAGGAUUCCUUCGAGGGUGCUGCACAGGUGCUGCAUGGCUGUCGUCAGUUCGUGCCGUGAGGUAUUAGGUUAAGUCCUGCAACGAACGCAACCCCUGUGGUUAGUUGCUAAUCCCGGUGAUGAAUCGGGAUGCACUCUAGUCAGACUGCCCGUGAUAAGCGGGAGGAAGGUGGGGAUGACGUCAAGUCAGUAUGGCCUUUAUACCCUGGGCUGCACGCGUGCUACAAUGGCCGGUACAGAGGGAAGCGAAGCCGCAAGGUGGUGCAAAUCCCAUAAAACCGGCCUCAGUUCGGAUUGAAGUCUGCAACUCGACUUCAUGAAGUUGGAUUCGCUAGUAAUGGCGCAUCAGCUACGGCGCCGUGAAUACGUUCCCGGGCCUUGUACACACCGCCCGUCACAUCAUGAAAGCCGUCUGCACCCGAAGUCGCUGAUCCAACCCGCAAGGGAGGUAGGCGCCGAAGGUGUGGGUGGUGAUUGGGAUGAAGUCGUAACAAGGUA